AGGAAGGGGGCGGGGGAGAAAGGAGGGAGAAACAGAGGAAGGAAGUGGGGCUUCUCUCGCGAGAUUUCAACAGCGCUGGUCCUUCAGGGUGACUUCCGUCUUUCUGUACCGCUCCCUCUUGGGAACCACAAGGCGCCUUUACGGCUGCUGCGGGAUCUGCUGGUGGCGCUUGGCGGCUUCCUGCGGAUCCACCCCUCUUCUCCCGCGCGAGGAGGCAACCCCAGCCUCACCAGGAACAUCGAGCCCAAAUCGACCGGGAGUUACACUCAAAGUCUUCCCCCCGUCUUUCCACUCCACCCGAUUUCUCUCUUCCUUUUUCCACUCCUCCACUCUUCCCCGCCGGAAACGCCGCUCCUUCCUCCUACAGUUCCGCCCGCCAAUCCCUCGAUUCUUGUCUUCCCUCGCGCACGACUGACGCGAAGGCCUCCUUCUUCUCUGCUGCCCCUCCCCAUGCAAACUGGGAGACUUUUGGAGGAGGUAGGGUGGAAGAGAAAGGAAACCAACCGGAUUGGAUAAGCAGCUGUCAUGGCAACUGGAGGCUGUGGUUGUAUCGUCAUAGUAACCGGAGUGUGCGGACAGGGUGACCCUCCCCUUGGCGAAAGGAUUCCCGGGAAACCGCCCAGGAUUCCCCCUUGACUUCCCUUCCAUCCCCAGGCCACCCUGGCGUGGGAAUCGAGGACACCGUCGGCGACUGAGCGUCUGACAGCCUGCGGGACUAGACCGGCGAAGGUGGAAACACGUCCUAGAAAGCUGACAAGUGGUACUCAAGCAUUUGAAAUCCAGGACGGUCGGAGGGGCUUAUUACUGCCCUCCCUCUUAGAAGGGUUCCCAGUAAGGAUCCCGGCUUGAUUAUUAAAGGCCGCUUUUCAAGUACCCUCCUCCCAGGAGUCUCAGUAUUUUAGAACUUGACACCCUGUAAUUUGGGGAUCAGAGAGAAAAUAUUGACUAAACUAGUGUUGGCACGAAGGUCCAAUGAAAGGAGUCUAGGAAAAGAAUUUUCCAUUCUUAUGAACAACUCUUUUUGAAUGUCUUAUGUGCAUUUUGUGUCAGGUACGGGGCUAAAACGCAGUCAAUGUAUUGUAGAGUGUAUGAGAAUUGCUGGAGAAGUCGUCAUGCUGACAGCUUGAAUAAAUUGACGUUUUCCAAAUUUCA
Long non-coding RNA from Marmota flaviventris (yellow-bellied marmot), 1152 nucleotides. RefSeq lists it as uncharacterized. The record is from RefSeq and is a predicted model, not a curated record. Lineage: Eukaryota; Metazoa; Chordata; Mammalia; Rodentia; Sciuridae.